This 782-nucleotide ribosomal RNA is filed under the name uncultured Bacteroides sp. Its description in RNAcentral is "bacterial SSU rRNA". It matches the Rfam family "Bacterial small subunit ribosomal RNA", at positions 392 to 1177 of the family's 1533-position model. The record is from RNAcentral. Lineage: Bacteria; Pseudomonadati; Bacteroidota; Bacteroidia; Bacteroidales; Bacteroidaceae.
CCAAGUAGCGUGAAGGAUGACUGCCNNAUGGGUUGUAAACUUCUUUUAUAAGGGAAUAAAGUGAGGGACGUGUCCCUUUUUGUAUGUACCUUAUGAAUAAGGAUCGGCUAACUCCGUGCCAGCAGCCGCGGUAAUACGGAGGAUCCAAGCGUUAUCCGGAUUUAUUGGGUUUAAAGGGAGCGUAGGUUGACAUAUAAGUCAGCUGUGAAAGUUUACGGCUCAACCGUGAAAUUGCAGCUGAUACUGUAUGUCUUGAGUGUACAAGAGGUGGGCGGAAUUCGUGGUGUAGCGGUGAAAUGCUUAGAUAUCACGAAGAACUCCAAUUGCGAAGGCAGCUCACUGGGGUACAACUGACACUGAGGCUCGAAAGUGUGGGUAUCAAACAGGAUUAGAUACCCUGGUAGUCCACACAGUAAACGAUGAAUACUCGCUGUUUGCGAUAUACAGUAAGCGGCCAAGCGAAAGCAUUAAGUAUUCCACCUGGGGAGUACGCCGGCAACGGUGAAACUCAAAGGAAUUGACGGGGGCCCGCACAAGCGGAGGAACAUGUGGUUUAAUUCGAUGAUACGCGAGGAACCUUACCCGGGCUUGAAUUGCAGAGGAACAUAGUUGAAAGAUUAUGGCCGCAAGGUCUCUGUGAAGGUGCUGCAUGGUUGUCGUCAGCUCGUGCCGUGAGGUGUCGGCUUAAGUGCCAUAACGAGCGCAACCCUUAUCAUUAGUUACUAACAGGUGAUGCUGAGGACUCUAGUGAGACUGCCGUCGUAAGAUGUGAGGAAGGUGGA